AGCGAACGCUGGCGGCAGGCCUAACACAUGCAAGUCGAACGGAUCCUUCGGGAUUAGUGGCGGACGGGUGAGUAACACGUGGGAACGUGCCUUUUGGUUCGGAACAACUCAGGGAAACUUGAGCUAAUACUGAAUGUGCCCUUCGGGGGAAAGAUUUAUCGCCAUUAGAGCGGCCCGCGUCUGAUUAGCUAGUUGGUGGGGUAAAGGCUCACCAAGGCUACGAUCAGUAGCUGGUCUGAGAGGAUGAUCAGCCACAUUGGGACUGAGACACGGCCCAAACUCCUACGGGAGGCAGCAGUGGGGAAUCUUGCGCAAUGGGCGAAAGCCUGACGCAGCCAUGCCGCGUGAAUGAUGAAGGUCUUAGGAUUGUAAAAUUCUUUCACCGGGGACGAUAAUGACGGUACCCGGAGAAGAAGCCCCGGCUAACUUCGUGCCAGCAGCCGCGGUAAU
This 450-nucleotide ribosomal RNA is filed under the name uncultured bacterium. Its description in RNAcentral is "bacterial SSU rRNA". It matches the Rfam family "Bacterial small subunit ribosomal RNA", at positions 29 to 524 of the family's 1533-position model. The record is from RNAcentral.